Molecule: ribosomal RNA, 200 nt
Filed under: uncultured bacterium
Lineage: Bacteria
Description: partial 16S ribosomal RNA
Rfam family: Bacterial small subunit ribosomal RNA
Source: RNAcentral
AUUGAACGCUGGCGGAAUGCUUUACACAUGCAAGUCGAACGGCAGCACGGACUUCGGUCUGGUGGCGAGUGGCGAACGGGUGAGUAAUAUAUCGGAACGUAUCCAAUAAUGGGGGAUAACUAAUCGAAAGGUUGGCUAAUACCGCAUACGCCCUACGGGGGAAAGCUAGGGACCUUCGGGCCUGGCGUUAAUGGAGCGGC